UAUCAGUGGCUGAAAAUAUUCACAUGUGGGAAAGUGCUGUUGCAUCCAGGUUCUGCUUGUAGGCUUUUGCAUAGACAUCUGGUUGGCCACCAUGAGAACAGAAUCCUGGACUAGAUGAGCCACCAGCCUAACCCAGCAGGGUUCUUACGUUCUUAGUAAAAGACACAGAAUGGGCAAUGGGAGCAGGUCCUCAAAGCAUCAUUACAGAGCUAUGUGAAGUAAGCCUCCCCUUCACAACAGGAAGUAUACAUCCUGACAAUCUUGAUGGGGGCAGAUAGAGCAUGAAUGAAAGGGAACCUCAGUGUUGGUGGGGAGAUGAAGAGGAAGUGUCUCACAAAACAGUCCGUGCGGACUUCAGUAUGAAGCAUGGGUACCACAUAUGAAACAGAAAGCAGGUGUUUAUGGCAAUUUGGACAGGAGCAAGGUUGCCCUUCAGAGGGAUGGCACCCCAUUAAGCUUAUAUACGGUACUUACCUACUGCUUCUCCAGCACUAGGGCAAAACUAUCCUUAGGAAGUGGAGGAAAUGGAUGAGCAGUGAUGAUUAUCAAGUGCACUCCUUCAUGCUUUGGAUUUGAUGCAGCACACUUGCCAAAAAUAAGGAUGGUCACCACUGAGAGUUAUGUUCUGUUUAUCAUUACAGAGCCACAUGGUGCCUGUUUUCCAAGUUGUUAAUUUACUUAACUGUUUUGCACAAGGUUAACUAUGAAACCUCUAACCAUGAAUCAGAAAGCUCUAAUCAACCAGCAGGCUGUUGGGUGCUUGGGAAAGAAAGCAUUUUGCAAGCCUUAUGCUUGGCACUUCCCAAGUGCCAAGCAUAGGGCUGGCAAAACCCCUGCACAGCCGUUUCAAGCUGGUUGUAGGGCAUUUGGGAGAUACUGUGCAAGGGACUUUGACAGCUGUCAGUAACCUGAUGUCAAUAUGAUAUCAGGUAAUUAACAGGUAGCUUGUUCUGCCCACCUGCCAAAGUUGGCCUGCAGGAUGGGAAGAGAUAAGAAUCUUACCCCACUGGGCCAAAAAGUUCCCUCCUUCUACUCUAAUGUGACAUUAUACCUCAGGAUGGAAUCAAGAAGCAGAUUUCAACUUUAAGUGGGCAAAGCUCCUGCUGAUUUCACAUCAGUAGGCUUUGUCUGUCUCCUUCCUAUCUUUAAUAGAGAAAUAACAGGAAGACAUUUAUAACAGUAUUUUGUAGUGUCCUUUCAUAACGCACUUUGAAAAUUGAUCAGUCACUUUUCGAAAGGAUUCCAAGUGGCACAGAUCUGCUGGAGGGUAACUUUUUUCUUCCUUUAAUGUUGAAAUAAUAGCUGAGUUUUAGCUUUUAAUUUAAGUUUAAAAGCAACUGUGACACAUUUAGCUGCAUCGCGGACAGAUAUUUCUAAGGCAUAAUAUUCUUCUGACUCUAUUUGUAGGUGAUGGCAACCUAGUACAAAACCUGGAUACUUUUUGAGAAUCAGAUGUUAAUUUCCUGACUUAAGCUGCUUCUUUCUUCAGAACUCAAAAGGGACUGAAUGAAAUAAAACACCUAGAAUGUUCUCAAAAGCAGCUUGGGCACAGGUUACAAAAAAAUACCUGUGUUUUGUAUUUGGCAGCUAUGGGGUUAUGCAAGUGAUGUGGAAUGCAUCUUCACAUCAGUGGAAGAGGACUGUUCUUAUUUGUGCAUAGGAAAUUGGUUUGUACCAGGGUCAGACUAUCUAUCCAGCUCAGUAUUGUCUACCAGGGUAUAUGCAUUAUGUCUUCCCUACCUCAGUUACCAGGUCUUUUUAACUGGAGAUGCCAGGGAUUGAAGCUUUUGCAUGCCCAGCACUGGGGAGCCAGUGUGGUAUAGUGGUUAGAGUGUUGGGCUAGCUGUGUUUCUCUAACUUGGAACUCCAGCAGUUGUUGGACUACAACUCCCAUUAUCCCUGACCACUGGUCCUGCUAGCUAGGGCUGGUGGGAGUUUUGUAGUCCCAACAACAUCUGAAGACCCAAGUUUGAGAAACACUGGGCUAGGGCCUAGCAGACCAGGGUUUAAAUUUCCACUUAGUCACAAAGCUUACCUGGAGUGACCCUGAGCCAGUGGCAGAAUCUUGGCCUAAGCAACAUCACCAGGUUGUUGUGAGGAUUAAAUAGGGACGAGAGAAUGCUGUAUGCCCCCUUGACUUCCUUGGAAAUAAGGCGGGGCAUAUAUGUUUUAAUAC
This 2176-nucleotide long non-coding RNA is filed under the name Podarcis lilfordi (Lilford's wall lizard). Lineage: Eukaryota; Metazoa; Chordata; Lepidosauria; Squamata; Lacertidae. The record is from RNAcentral.